UGGCUGCAGGAUUUUGACUGUACAAAGGUAGCAUAAUCAUUAGUCUUUUAAUUGGAGGCUUGUAUGAAUGGUUGGACGAAGUAUAAACUGUUUCAUAAAAAUUUAUAAUAAAAUUUUAUAUUUUAGUAAAAAAGCUAAAAUUUUGUUAAAAGACGAGAAGACCCUAUAAAUCUUUAUAUUUUAUUUUUAUUGAAUUAUUUAGAUUUAUAAUUAAUUUAAUUUUAUUUAAAAUAUUUUAUUGGGGUGAUAUUAAAAUUUAUAAAACUUUUAAUUUUAAAUUGACAUUUAUUUAUGAUUUAUUGAUCCAUUAAUAAUGAUUAUAAGAAUAAGUUACUUUAGGGAUAACAGCGUAGGUUUUUUNGAGAGUCUUAUUUUNNNAAAGUUUCGNCNUCCANGUUGAUAAGAAAUAAAUUUAGGUGUAGAAGCUUAAAUAUUAAGUCUGUUCGACUUUUAAAUUCUUACAUGAUCUGAGUUCAGACCGGCGUAAGCCAGGUUGGUUUCUAUCUUUAAUUUUUUUUAAUAUUUUAGUACGAAAGGACCAAAUAUUGAAUUAAUAAUAAUUUAUAUUUUUGAAAAUAAGUAAAUA
RNAcentral lists this ribosomal RNA (586 nucleotides) under Tomoplagia costalimai. RNAcentral's name for it is "partial 16S ribosomal RNA". The stretch from base 341 to 495 matches the Rfam family "Bacterial large subunit ribosomal RNA", at positions 2473 to 2632 of the family's 2925-position model. Lineage: Eukaryota; Metazoa; Arthropoda; Insecta; Diptera; Tephritidae. The record is from RNAcentral.